This 73-nucleotide transfer RNA is filed under the name Canis lupus familiaris (dog). It matches the Rfam family "tRNA". Rfam says of the family: Transfer RNA (tRNA) molecules are approximately 80 nucleotides in length. Their secondary structure includes four short double-helical elements and three loops (D, anti-codon, and T loops). Lineage: Eukaryota; Metazoa; Chordata; Mammalia; Carnivora; Canidae. The record is from Rfam by way of RNAcentral. RNAcentral also lists the same sequence under 1 other name.
GCCUGGCUGGCUCAACUGGUAGAGCGUGUGACUCUUGAUCUCAGGGUUGUGAGUUCAAGUCCUGUGUUGGGUA